This is a non-coding RNA of Theobroma umbraticum, 3555 nucleotides long. Lineage: Eukaryota; Viridiplantae; Streptophyta; Magnoliopsida; Malvales; Malvaceae. The record is from RefSeq and is a predicted model, not a curated record.
UAUUAUAUAUUGAUAUUAGCACGCUAAAAGAAAAAAUAAAUGAAACAAAAUGUUCUUCUUUUGGCGUUUAGUGAUGGGACAGUUAAAGUGCAUUUAUCAAAUCAUAUCAUUUCCCCCAGCCUGCAAAAACUGAUCUCUUCUGACUCCUUUGCAGUUCCUUCCUUUGUAGUCCUUUUGUUUGCUAUUUUCCCACAAUCAUACCACUAAAUGCCCGCCCUCUUUUCCGACGUUUAUUGGGUUUUGUUUUGUUUUUUGUUUUUCAUUCUUGAAAAAUAUUGUUCUUUUUGAUAUAGUCAAUAGCAUUUUUUUUAUUGAAAAUUUCAAUAAAAGGAAAAGGGGAUUGUAUUUUUAAUCGUCUGUUGAUGUUGUCAUUGCGGUGUUCUAGGUUGUCAUGAUGGUGAUGGGUUGGCGGCCUUUGGGUUCCCGGGAUAGUCUUUUCUGGAUUCUUUGUCAUGCAUGAUCAUCGCUUUCUUUUCUCUUGUUCCUCUUUGUUUAAGUUUUGUCUUUUUCCUUCCUGGGUCUGGCUCAGAAUUCAGGUUUCUUUGGCCCUUGUGUGGAUUUCUUGUGGCAGAGAAAUGCGGAUUUCAAAGCAAGAUUCUGAUAUCAAAGGGACAUUUUUUUAUGUCAUUUCUUUUGGUAUGUGCUAAAUCUGUUGUUGAAUUCUUCUAUGGUCUCUUUUCAAUGAGGUUGGUUGUGAGAGGGCUGUAAGUUUGUGAAUUUUAAAUGGACUUGUCCUCUAACUGUAAGCCUUCGAGGGUAUUUGGCUGCCAUUUGACUUCUGUAACAUGCAGAUGUCUUGCUUUGGUCACUAUUGCUCUGUUUUUCAGAGUUAUAUUGCUUCAUUCAUUUUCUGCCAACGGUGCGAUUGAAUGGAACAAUCUGGAUUUUAUUCUAAGCCGUUCUUUGUUGUUGAAUUCUGAUGGUGGGAUUCGUAGAGAUAAGUUCUUGGACGCUCCUCAAAUUGUGUGGGGACUGAACAAUCAGAAGAUAGCUUUUGCAAGAGCUUGUCUAACUGCUAGAAUGCUGAACCGAACUCUUUUGAUGCCAAGCUUGAGUGCUUCACUUUUCUACAAGGAAAUUGACCGCUUGCAGCCUAUUUCCUUUGAUAAAGUCUUCCAGUUUGAUAGGUUUAAUUCACUUUGUACUGGGUUUGUGCGGUUGGGUCGGUACUCGGAUCUUAAGAAUCAAUCAGGAAUAUAUGAUCUCCAAAAGGGAAGUGGAAGAAAGUGGACUGUUGAGAGAGACCUGGAGCAGUUGAAGCGAAGUAGCGGAGGUCCAGCUGAUAAGUAUGAAGUGAUUAGAAUUGUUGGAAAGAAUCCGUUUCUAUGGCAUGAUCAUUGGCCUGCUAAAGACUAUGCAAGGGUCUUUGAGUGCUUAGCUUUGGUUGAUGAGAUAGUAAAAGAAGCAGAUAAAGUUGUGUCCAAGAUUAGGCAGAUAGGAACAAAGCUUAGGAGCAAAACUGGGCCAGUAGAAAACAAUUUUGAUGCAGAGGGUUCUUCACUGCCACCAGCUCCUUACGUAGCAGUCCAUAUGAGAGUAGAGAUAGACUGGAUGAUUCACUGCAAGAAAUUAGAGCUAAGAUCAGGCAUAAGCCAAAUUUGUAGUAGCAAGCAAGAAAUUAUGGAAAGAGUGGGGAAAAUUGUCAGCUUUGAAUCUCCCACUGUUGUUUAUCUUGCUGUUGCUGAUAGCCUCCUCAAUGAUUCUUCAAUAUUGGGUGGUUGGAAGAAAGGAUUGCUUCCUUUUGAGAAGAAAAAAUUAGGGGUUGAUGGAAUCUACAAGAAGUAUCCAUAUCUCAUUCAGUCAGCUAUUGACUAUGAAGUGUGCUCAAGGGCUGAUAUAUUUGUAGGGAACAGUUUUUCCACUUUUUCUAGCAUCGUGGUUCUUGAGAGAACACAAAAGAUGAUCAGAAUAGGCACCACAAGCUCAUGUGGCAUUGAUGUUAGGUGGCCAUCUUAUGCAUACAAUAUACCAGAUGAAUCAAAUGGGCCUCAGAAAUGGAUGACUAAUAUGUCUGAUUCAAGUCUCAAAGCAAUUAGUUAUGGUUCUAAUGUCAUCUCAUGUUGAAGUUUGUCCCUGCACAAUUCCCCACUUGCUGAUGAUAUUAUCACUGUUCAGCAAUUUUUGAACCCAAUUGAUCCUGCUGGUUGAAUGGUUCUACGGAUAUAUACUGUAAAGAAAAGCAAUAGGAGAGAAUAUCGAGAUACAGUGGAAUACUGAAAUAGAAAAAAGUACGUCCAUGACCUGCCUGUAACCAGAACAAGUGAAAGUGAAAUGGAUCUUUAAAGAAAGGGAAAUGUGCAGUGACAAGGUUGUGAAAUCCCAAAUAUAGUAUAUCUGCAGAAUGUGACUUACGGGCAACAUGGUAUUGUUGAUUCCCAUGUGAAGCUGAGAAGAUGUUCUUGGGUUCAUAGUCUUGAGGCUAUCCUCUCGGAGAGCAGUUGCCAACGACUCCAUGGAAUCACUUCUGUUGUCAAGAGGAAAAACUGCUAGAGGGAGAGAGCUAGUCAAAUGCACAUGCCACCCCACCGAAUAAUACAUUUAUAAAAAGGAAAAAAAAGAGGUGGGGGAUAGUAUGCACUAGGAAUAUUAAUUUUAUACUAUAGUAGCUGAAACUUUGAAAACUGAAAAUAAAGACAACAGUGGGGAUACUAAGCCCAGGGUCUGCCGAAAAAUAUUGAAACUCUUGUGCCAUUUCUCAUUCCCUAGGGAAAAGUCAAAUUGCAUGUGCUGGUGCCUCUCUCUUCCAAGUCUUGCUGGGAAGGUUAUGUAAUAUUCAUUAAUACCAAUUAAGAAUGUACGAAAUAAACAACACAAUCUGUAAUACUUUGGAUUUGGAUUCUCUAAGAUAUCCCAACAUAGUAAUGGACUUCGCUUGGCACAAUUGAUGCUGUCUGUCCAUGGUACUAGUCUAGUUCACCAGGCACAAUUGGCAAUUCAAAUCAAAGAACAAAGAUCCUGAUCUCACUCCAUAAUGCAAGCCAAUCCUUAUUCCAUUUUGGAGCCUUGGAACCCCAUAUAACCCAGUCUAAGCGGCUGUUGAAACAGUUAAACAGAAAAGUGACUCCUCAAAUGGGUCAUUGUUCGAUCCGUUUUGGAAAAUACUGGUACUGAUCAGUAUAACCCUAUGCCUGUGAGCAGCUAUUUUGUUUGCUAAUACAGGACCAGACAGUUGAACUGUUAUUAAUAACCAUAUGGCCAGCCAUUUCUGCUAAAUAGACCUCUGUCGGCGGGAGGGUAAAGUAAUACUAAAGAGAGACUAAAAUGAAAUAGAGUCCUACUAGAACCAGAAUAGCAACUAAUGUCUCCGGAAGAGUAGCCUGACCCCAUCAUAAUGCUGAGCAAUUAGAACUGCGCUACAACAUCAUAUUCAUAAUGAGCUCAGUGAAACCAAGAGAAUUCCUGUAACUUGAACAUGAAUGGAAGGAGAAAAGAAAACAGCUUUCUUAGCAAUAGUAAUGCAAAAUAUUGCAUUCAAGAGAGGCCAUGUCAAAAAGAAAAGAUUUGUUUCAUUAACUUUCUUUCAAUUUGAUGACAUUACUAAGAUCUUUACCCUAU